UUUCGAAUCGUUCACAAUGGGGGCAACCCUGAUGGCGCGACGCCGCGUGGGGGAUGAAGGUCUUCGGAUUGUAAACUCCUGUCAUUGGGGACUAAUGGCCAGGCUCAUACCCUGGUUUGAAUUAACCCAAAGAGGAAGCAGUGGCUAACUCUGUGCCAGCAGCCGCGGUAAUACAGAGACUGCAAGCGUUACUCGGAUUCACUGGGCGUAAAGGGAGCGCAGGCGGACUCGUGUGUCGGACGUGAAAUACCGGGGCUUAACCCCGGUGCUGCGUUCGAAACUACGAGUCUAGAGACUUGGAGGGGUAAGCGGAAUUCUUGGUGGAGCAGUGAAAUGCGUAGAUAUCAAGAGGAACACCAACGGCGAAGGCAGCUUACUGGACAAGAUCUGACGCUCAGGC
This 400-nucleotide ribosomal RNA is filed under the name uncultured bacterium. RNAcentral's name for it is "bacterial SSU rRNA". It matches the Rfam family "Bacterial small subunit ribosomal RNA", at positions 355 to 752 of the family's 1533-position model. The record is from RNAcentral.